CCCUUAGAUGUUCUGGGCUGCACGCGUGCUACAAUGGCGCUUGCAACAAGUCUUGCCAACCCGAUAGGGUGAGCGGAUCUUUGAAGAGGCGUCGUGAUCGGGACAGUUGAUUGCAAUUAUUCGACUCGAACGAGGAAUUCCUUGUAAUCGCGAUUCAUCAUAUCGCGCUGAAUACGUCCCUGCCCUUUGUACACACCGACCGUCGCUCCUACCGAUUGAGCGAUCCGGUGAAUGUUUUGGACUGGCGUCAGAAGCGGUUCGCUCCUGACACUACGAAAUUUUGUAAACCUUAUCGCUUAGAGGAAGGAAAAGUCGUAACA
Molecule: ribosomal RNA, 320 nt
Filed under: uncultured eukaryote
Lineage: Eukaryota
Description: partial 18S ribosomal RNA
Rfam family: Eukaryotic small subunit ribosomal RNA
Source: RNAcentral